UCAAACUUGGUCAUUUAGAGGAAGUAAAAGUCGUAACAAGGUUUCCGUAGGUGAACCUGCGGAAGGAUCAUUAAUGGGUACUAGGGCCUCUAGCCCUUACUCCCACCCUAUGUGAAUAUUAAAUGUUGCCUUGGCGGGCCGGGGGUAUAGCCCCUGCCGGCCCUUUUGCUGGAGAGCGCCCGCCGAAGGACAGCCUUCAAAACUCUUUAGCCUGAACCUAAAUCUGAGCAUGCGAAGAAUUAAAAAGUAAAAAACUUUCAACAACGGAUCUCUUGGUUCUGGCAUCGAUGAAGAACGCAGC
RNAcentral lists this unclassified non-coding RNA (301 nucleotides) under uncultured fungus. Its description in RNAcentral is "partial contains small subunit ribosomal RNA, internal transcribed spacer 1, and 5.8S ribosomal RNA". The stretch from base 1 to 73 matches the Rfam family "Eukaryotic small subunit ribosomal RNA", at positions 1759 to 1831 of the family's 1831-position model. The record is from RNAcentral. Lineage: Eukaryota; Fungi.